ACUGCUCAGUAACACGUGGACAACCUACCCUAAGGAGGGGGAUAACCCCGGGAAACUGGGGAUAAUACCCCAUAGACUAGAGAAGCUGGAAUGCUCUCAAGUCCAAAGGUCCGCCGCCUUAGGAUGGGUCUGCGGUCGAUUAGGUUGUUGUUGGGGUAACGGCCCAACAAGCCCGUGAUCGAUACGGGUUGUGAGAGCAAGAGCCCGGAGAUGGAUUCUGAGACACGAAUCCAGGCCCUACGGGGCGCAGCAGGCGCGAAAACUUUACAAUGCGGGAAACCGUGAUAAGGGAACCCCGAGUGCCCGUAAAUUCGGGCUGUCCAUCAGCGUAAAUAACUGGUGAAGAGAGGGCCGGGCAAGACCGGUGCCAGCCGCCGCGGUAAUACCGGCGGCUCGAGUGGUGGCCACUAUUAUUGGGCUUAAAGCGUCCGUAGCUUGGUUGUUAAGUCUCUAGGGAAAUCUACCGGCUCAACCGGUAGGCGUUCAGGAGAUACUGGCAAUCUAGGGACCGGGAGAGGUGAGAGGUACUCCAGGGGUAGGAGUGAAAUCCUGUAAUCCUUGGGGGACCACCUGUGGCGAAGGCGUCUCACUAGAACGGCUCCGACAGUGAGGGACGAAAGCUGGGGGAGCAAACCGGAUUAGAUACCCGGGUAGUCCCAGCUGUAAACGAUGCGCGUUAGGUGUAUCGGUGACCACGAGUCACCGAGGUGCCGAAGGGAAACCGUGAAACGUGCCGCCUGGGAAGUACGGUCGCAAGGCUGAAACUUAAAGGAAUUGGCGGGGGAGCAC
RNAcentral lists this ribosomal RNA (789 nucleotides) under uncultured Methanomicrobiales archaeon. Its description in RNAcentral is "bacterial SSU rRNA". It matches the Rfam family "Archaeal small subunit ribosomal RNA", at positions 85 to 879 of the family's 1478-position model. The record is from RNAcentral. Lineage: Archaea; Methanobacteriati; Methanobacteriota; Methanomicrobia; Methanomicrobiales.